RNAcentral lists this ribosomal RNA (1363 nucleotides) under uncultured bacterium. Its description in RNAcentral is "partial 16S ribosomal RNA". It matches the Rfam family "Bacterial small subunit ribosomal RNA", at positions 41 to 1401 of the family's 1533-position model. The record is from RNAcentral.
GACAGGCCUAACACAUGCAAGUCGAGGGGCAGCGCGGAGUAGCAAUACUUUGGCGGCGACCGGCGCACGGGUGAGUAACACGUAUGCAACCAACCCAUAACAGGGGGAUAACCCGGAGAAAUCCGGACUAAUACCGCAUAAGACCACGAUAUCGCAUGAUAUAGAGGUCAAAUAUUUAUAGGUUAUGGACGGGCAUGCGUCUGAUUAGCUGGUUGGCGGGGUAACGGCCCACCAAGGCAUCGAUCAGUAGGGGUUCUGAGAGGAAGGUCCCCCACAUUGGAACUGGGACACGGCCCAGACUCCUACGGGAGGCAGCAGUGAGGAAUAUUGGACAAUGGAUGGAAAUCUGAUCCAGCCAUGCCGCGUGCAGGAAGACGGCCCUAUGGGUUGUAAACUGCUUUUAUACGGGAGCAAUAAGGUCUACGUGUAGACUGAUGAGAGUACCGUAUGAAUAAGCAUCGGCUAACUCCGUGCCAGCAGCCGCGGUAAUACGGAGGAUGCGAGCGUUAUCCGGAUUUAUUGGGUUUAAAGGGUGCGUAGGCGGCCUUGUAAGUCAGCGGUGAAAUUUUGCAGCUUAACUGUAAAAGUGCCGUUGAUACUGUGAGGCUAGGAUUUGGUUGCUGUGGGUGGAAUGUGUGGUGUAGCGGUGAAAUGCUUAGAGAUCACACAGAAUAUCGAUUGCGAAGGCAGCUCACAAAGCCAAGAUUGACGCUGAGGCACGAAAGUGUGGGGAUCAAACAGGAUUAGAUACCCUGGUAGUCCACACUGUAAACGAUGAUAACUCGCUGUCGGCGAUAUACAGUCGGUGGCCAAGCGAAAGCGAUAAGUUAUCUACCUGGGGAGUACGACCGCAAGGUUGAAACUCAAAGGAAUUGACGGGGGCCCGCACAAGCGGAGGAACAUGUGGUUUAAUUCGAUGAUACGCGAGGAACCUUACCCGGGCUCGAACGGUGCAGGAAUAUGGUAGAGAUAUCAUAGCUAGCAAUAGUCUGUAUCGAGGUGCUGCAUGGUUGUCGUCAGCUCGUGCCGUGAGGUGUCGGCUUAAGUGCCAUAACGAGCGCAACCCUUGUCAUUAGUUGCCAUCAGGUCAAGCUGGGGACUUUAAUGAGACUGCCACCGUAAGGUGUGAGGAAGGGGGGGAUGACGUCAAAUCAGCACGGCCCUUAUGUCCGGGGCGACACACGUGUUACAAUGGGAGGUACAGAGGGCAGCUAUCCGGUGACGGAAUGCUAAUCUCCAAAACCUUUCUCAGUUCGGAUUGGAGUCUGCAACUCGACUCCAUGAAGGUGGAUUCGCUAGUAAUCGCGCAUCAGCCAUGGCGCGGUGAAUACGUUCCCGGGCCUUGUACACACCGCCCGUCAAG